CCAGGCUGGAGUACAGUGGCAUGAUCCUAGCCCAUGGCAGCGUUGAUCUCUUGGCCUCAAGCGACCCUCCUUUGGAGUCGCUGGGCCUAAAGGAGUGAGCCACCACGAAAUUUUAUUAUAAAUGGAGGGUAGAGAAAUUGGGCAAUAAAUGGAGGGGGAAGUGAGUUAAGAGGAAUUUUAAUUAUGUGUGUGUGGUUUUAAAAGAGGGGGGUCUUGCUCUGUUGCCCAGGCUGCUGGGGUGCCAGUGGCGCAAUCAUGAAUCACUACAGCCUUGGACUCCUGGCCUCAAGCUAUCCUCCCACCUCUGCCUCCCAAAGUACUGGGAUUACUAGUGUGAGCCACUGCACUAAGAUAGGAGCAACAUGUUUCAGCAUGUUUGUGGGUUGAUAGGAAAGAUGAGAAUGGGAAAGUUGAUGUCGGAAAGAAGACAAUGGCUAGAGCAAUGUCCUAGAGUAGGUAAGAAGGGAUGGAUUUGGCCUUUGUUGGAAACAUUAGCGGUUCUUUUGGUGACAGCUAUAUAGUUAACACAUCUAUGAUACGUGAAUGGGCAGAUAGGAUGGCAGGAGAUUUUGAAAGUUCUCUUGAUUCUUACUGUUCUCUUAGUGAAAGAAGCAAGGUUAUCAGCUAGAAGCUGGGAUGGGAGAGGAAAGAGAAGAUGGGAAGUAGAUAGUUCUUUAGAAGAGUGGGCAAGGGUUGGACUAGGGAAGUUUAGUGGAAAUAUUGCUAGGCAACAUAAAGAGCCUACUUGAGAUUCGUGGUCAUGAGUUGAAGGAGACCAGACAGCAAGAUUGUGUAUGAGGGCACCCACAGAGUAAAUGGAGAGUUGAAAUUAAUGCAGUUGUGAUUUUACCACGUGGAUAUGAAGAAGUGAGGGGGAGAAGUACAAAGGAGUUCUCUUAAUGAUUGACCAUGGAAUUUAAGCUGGCUAAGAAAGGAAGCGUGAGCCACCGCGCCAGCCAGAGCAGGGAAGAUUUCUUCCCCACAUCUCCAGUAGGUACAGUGAUAUGAAGUGUGUGGAGGAGAAAAGAGGAAACAUCUAUCAUUUGAGAUGGCUGCGAAAGGAAAAGGCAUCCUCAGGGAGCUAGAUUUUACUUAGAGCAAGAAAUGAAGGGAUGAUUCAGAGGUUAAAAGAGUGGAUUUUAUGAAUUACUCAAGGGAGCACAGUGGAAGUUUCAGGAAGUGGUAGGAGAAGGUAGAAGAUGGCAGGGUGUUGGGAAUAAUUUGAGAAAUCUGAGCUACUGGAAAUGACUGAGAAUCAGAUAUAAAGGCAGUCCUGGUGGUCCGUUCUGGCUGCCGUUGCUGUGUAACGAAUCUGCCAAAACUUAGUGGCUUGAAA
This 1336-nucleotide long non-coding RNA is filed under the name Homo sapiens (human). RNAcentral describes it as "HSALNT0327169". The record is from RNAcentral. Lineage: Eukaryota; Metazoa; Chordata; Mammalia; Primates; Hominidae.